CCAUCCUACAAAAGCAUGUCUGUGGUUUCCCGUCCUUGGACACAGAAAAAUUGGAGGCAAAGAGAUGUGGACUUGGAGAAGUCUGUAGUCAGCUUGCUCCCUAUAGGCUCAAGGUCACCCUUUCCCACACAG
RNAcentral lists this small nucleolar RNA (132 nucleotides) under Dasypus novemcinctus (nine-banded armadillo). RNAcentral describes it as "Small nucleolar RNA SNORA38 (ENSDNOG00000037759.1)". It matches the Rfam family "Small nucleolar RNA SNORA38". From Rfam's summary of the family: ACA38 is a member of the H/ACA class of snoRNA that guide the sites of modification of uridines to pseudouridines. The record is from RNAcentral. Lineage: Eukaryota; Metazoa; Chordata; Mammalia; Cingulata; Dasypodidae.